Molecule: ribosomal RNA, 515 nt
Filed under: uncultured bacterium
Lineage: Bacteria
Description: bacterial SSU rRNA
Rfam family: Bacterial small subunit ribosomal RNA
Source: RNAcentral
AGGGUUCGAUUCUGGCUCAGAUUGAACGCUGGCGGCAUGCCUUACACAUGCAAGUCGAACGGUAACAGGUCUUCGGAUGCUGACGAGUGGCGAACGGGUGAGUAAUACAUCGGAACGUGCCCGAUCGUGGGGGAUAACGCAGCGAAAGCUGUGCUAAUACCGCAUACGAUCUACGGAUGAAAGCAGGGGACCCGCAAGGGCCUUGCGCGGACGGAGCGGCCGAUGGCAGAUUAGGUAGUUGGUGGGAUAAAAGCUUACCAAGCCGACGAUCUGUAGCUGGUCUGAGAGGACGACCAGCCACACUGGGACUGAGACACGGCCCAGACUCCUACGGGAGGCAGCGGUGGGGAAUUUUGGACAAUGGGCGAAAGCCUGAUCCAGCCAUGCCGCGUGCAGGAUGAAGGCCUUCGGGUUGUAAACUGCUUUUGUACGGAACGAAAAGGCUCCUUCUAAUAAAGGGGGCCCAUGACGGUACCGUAAGAAUAAGCACCGGCUAACUACGUGCCAGCCGCUGC